CCACACCCCACCUCCGCGGGCCGGGCCUGGGCCUGGCUGCAGACCUCGGUCAGCCCUCUGCAGUCCGUGGGCUCACACUGCGCCUUCCUCCCAGCAGACAUGGGGUUGCUCCUGGUUUAGAGAAAGGCUCGAGCAGCCCUCCAGAGGAGAAACGGCUUCACCCCGGCUGCACUGAUGGGCGGAGGCUGCUGUCCUCCCCUGUGAAAGGAGACCUAGGCCUUGGUGGCCUCUCCUUGGGAGUCCUGCACAAGGGCAGAGGGGCCAGGAGAUGGACUUUGUUGGGGACGGCCCUUGCUGGGAGCAUCCGCUUUGCUUAAACCUCUCGGGUAGGGCUGGCGUGAGUCAAGGGUGAUCUAGAGUCCAGGGACGGAAAGGCUCAGGGCACCAGCUGAGGACGUGGUUUCCUCUGGGUCUUGCCAGUUUCAGGAGGUCAGAUGUUCUAAUCCCCACCAGCUGACCACUAGACAAGGGACGGGACCUGGAGGGCCGGGGUCUAGCCUCGACCCAAGGGGUCACCCGAGUGUCCACUGGGGGCAGGAGAGCCUCAGUGAGCAGCUUGGGGAGGCCGUUCCUUGGGGUGAGUCUUUCCUGGAACACAGAAGCAGGUGUGAGGCUGGGAAAUGCGUGGUGGGGAGAUCUCACGAUGGCCACGUUUCUUAGAGCAAGCCGUCAACAUGGCCGGCCGGCGAGCAGCCACGUAGGUCAUGGUACACGUUCAGGGACGGGGGCUUGAGCGUUGGUUUUCUUGCUCCCCACAUGUCAGCAGAAGUGGGCACCAUACAUGAAAGUGGGGGGUGAGGGGGGCCAGGUGUGUUGAAGGCUUGCCAGGAGGGUACUGUGCCACAAACCCAGCCCUGAACUUCCCCCCUCACUCCCCAGCACUGCCGGGCAGCUAGAGAGGGCCGUGGAACACGCCAGAAUGGAGAUGUGCCUGCACCCGUGUACACACACACACACACACAGGCACACACACACACACCCCUUAGUCUUCAUUCGUUGCUGGUGUGUUUGCAGGAUCACAGAGUCUAGGUAACAGACCCCUCGUGAUGC
This 1050-nucleotide long non-coding RNA is filed under the name Marmota monax (woodchuck). The record is from RNAcentral. Lineage: Eukaryota; Metazoa; Chordata; Mammalia; Rodentia; Sciuridae.